Molecule: long non-coding RNA, 122 nt
Organism: Sapajus apella (tufted capuchin)
Lineage: Eukaryota; Metazoa; Chordata; Mammalia; Primates; Cebidae
Exons: 3
Source: RefSeq, a predicted model, not a curated record
UUCAUGCUGAUCAAGAUAGACCCAAGACUGGGCAAUUUACAAAAGAAAGGAAUGUAACUGGACUUACAAUUUCAGGUAGCUGGGGAAGCCUUAUAGUCAUGAUGAAGACAAGGUGGAACAAA